ACGAACGCUGGCGGCGUGCUUAACACCUGCCAGUCGCACGGAAAGGCCCUGCUUUUGUGGGGUGCUCGAGUGGCGAACGGGUGAGUAACACGCGAGUAACCUGCCCUUGACUUUGGGAUAACUUCAGGAAACUGGGGCUAAUACCGGAUAGGAGCUCCUGCUGCAUGGUGGGGGUUGGAAAGUUUCGGCGGUUGGGGAUGGACUCGCGGCUUAUCAGCUUGUUGGUGGGGUAGUGGCUUACCAAGGCUUUGACGGGUAGCCGGCCUGAGAGGGUGACCGGCCACAUUGGGACUGAGAUACGGCCCAGACUCCUACGGGAGGCAGCAGUGGGGAAUAUUGCACAAUGGGCGGAAGCCUGAUGCAGCAACGCCGCGUGCGGGAUGACGGCCUUCGGGUUGUAAACCGCUUUCGCCUGUGACGAAGCGUGAGUGACGGUAAUGGGUAAAGAAGCACCGGCUAACUACGUG
RNAcentral lists this ribosomal RNA (467 nucleotides) under uncultured bacterium. Its description in RNAcentral is "partial 16S ribosomal RNA". It matches the Rfam family "Bacterial small subunit ribosomal RNA", at positions 29 to 507 of the family's 1533-position model. The record is from RNAcentral.